Molecule: long non-coding RNA, 207 nt
Filed under: Gossypium barbadense (sea-island cotton)
Lineage: Eukaryota; Viridiplantae; Streptophyta; Magnoliopsida; Malvales; Malvaceae
Description: long non-coding RNA (GBAR_LNC023274)
Source: RNAcentral
AAACAAAGAACAAUCCUUCUCCAUAAAAACCAAAAACCCCCUCCCUCUAAAAACAAAGUCUUGAAUGGCUUUUAUAGCCAAAUUUUACAAGUGGAGUGGUUGGGGUGGUUUAGGUGGCCAAGGGUGGUGGAGUUGGUGGCUAAGGUGGGUGGAGUUGGUGGCUAAGGUGGGUGGCCAACAAAGGUGGUGGAGUAGGUGGCCAAGGUU